Long non-coding RNA from Musa acuminata AAA Group (dessert banana), 943 nucleotides. RefSeq lists it as uncharacterized. The transcript is spliced from 3 exons. NCBI's taxonomy places the organism in Eukaryota, Viridiplantae, Streptophyta, Magnoliopsida, Zingiberales, Musaceae. The record is from RefSeq and is a predicted model, not a curated record.
GUAGGGUUUCUUCGAAUCCGAGAUCUAUGGUUCCUUCCUUCCUUGCUCCCUCUUUGUUCUUCUCCUUGGCGGUCUCGGUUUCACCAGGGGAGGGGAAGAUGUCGUUUGGGUUGCCGGCGUACGGCCUCCAGGAGAUGCUGAAGGAAGGGCACGAGCACCUCCCGGGGCUCGACGAGGCCGUCCUCAGGAACAUCGACGCCUGAAAGUAGCUUUCCUACAUCGCCCGCACCUCCCUCGGUCCCAACGGUAAGAACAAAACAAGUGAUGCUGCCACAAUAGCGGAUGAGCUUGAGGUCCAGCAUCCUGUUGCAAAGAUUUUGGUGCUAGCAGGAAAGGCCCAGCGGGAGGAGAUUGGUGAUCGGGCCACACCCUAGUGAAAUAAUAAGUGGUUAUACGAAAGCAAUUAAUAAGAUCAUAAAGGCCAAGUCAGCAGGUGGGCCAAAAAGAGAUCAACCGACUAGCAUGGAUGAGGUUUAACUUCUUCUUGGAUUUUUUAAGAGCAUUGUUACUGACAAUGCUGCAGCUAAAAGAGUUGUAUCUGUUUUUAGCCAUGCAACGGAUAUCUGAGCAAGUUCAGCUACAGAAGCCAGUGGCUUUGUGGCACUAGUAAUUGCUUUCGAGGGAAGAUUUGCAGUUCUCUGAAUCUGGUGCACUGGUUUUGAACAUCAGAACAUUUCAUUGUUCUCAAUCAGAAGGUUUCAUGCACGAGUUUCCUGAAUUGUUCAUACGAUGUAAUCGUGCCAGCUUAGGGUUGCGACACCGUAUUGUGCUGGCUGUCAUCAGUAUCAAAGUAUCAUUCUUAGCAAUGUUGUAUUAGUCAAAUAAAAUUAGGGUUUUUUGUUUGCAACUAUGUAGGAUAAAUCAUAGUGUUCUUUGUAUUGUAGGUUUGACAGUUUUGAAAAUUUUGAAGCAAUAUGAAUUUGUACUUAAAAUGUGAUCUAUU